UACGGAGGGUGCAAGCGUUGUUCGGAAUUAUUGGGCGUAAAGGGCGCGUAGGCGGUAAUGCUAGUCAGAUGUGAAAUACUCCGGCUCAACCGGGGAACUGCAUCUGAAACUGCAUAACUAGAGUACAGAAGAGGGAAACGGAAUUCCCGGUGUAGAGGUGAAAUUCGUAGAUAUCGGGAGAAACACCAGUGGCGAAGGCGGUUUCCUGGUCUGAUACUGACGCUGAGGCGCGAAAGUGUGGGGAGCAAACAGGAUUAGAUACCCUGGUAGUCCCU
This 275-nucleotide ribosomal RNA is filed under the name uncultured prokaryote. RNAcentral describes it as "partial 16S ribosomal RNA". It matches the Rfam family "Bacterial small subunit ribosomal RNA", at positions 524 to 798 of the family's 1533-position model. The record is from RNAcentral.